CCUGGUAUCGCAGGUUUGCUGAUGUUCCAAGGAAGCAACUAUAAACAGUUGCUGAUUUCCAGAUCGGAGAUCUUUUGCGCCCCACUUCCAUACUUGCAGAAGGUUUCAGAAUUUGGCGAGCACCAUAUAAGACAUCUGAAGCAACUCCAGCUCCAAUACUAGAAAUGAAUCCAACACCGGCAAGUUUAAGACCGCCCAUAAGCACUGAUGCAAAUCUCUGUUUAAUGCUCCAAUUCUGCCCUACAAUGCCCUUUUGAAAUGCAUUAUCUGGCAAUGUUCCUAAAAGUCCUUUCAGAAGCUCCACGCUAUCACCAGAGCCAUCAUCGGCAAAAGACAAGAGCGAAAUAGUAGGUGCAGGAAGCCACACUGUAAAGAAGUCAACAACAGAGCCUCUAAU
Molecule: long non-coding RNA, 397 nt
Filed under: Setaria viridis
Lineage: Eukaryota; Viridiplantae; Streptophyta; Magnoliopsida; Poales; Poaceae
Description: long non-coding RNA (SVIR_LNC006124)
Source: RNAcentral